AAUAGAUACCCUGGUAGUCCACGCCGUAAACGAUGAGUGCUAAGUGUUAGAGGGUUUCCGCCCUUUAGUGCUGCAGCAAACGCAUUAAGCACUCCGCCUGGGGAGUACGGUCGCAAGACUGAAACUCAAAGGAAUUGACGGGGGCCCGCACAAGCGGUGGAGCAUGUGGUUUAAUUCGAAGCAACGCGAAGAACCUUACCAGGUCUUGACAUCCUUAUGCCAUCUCUAGAGAUAGAGCUUUCCCGUUCGGGGAUAUAAGUGACAGGUGGUGCAUGGUUGUCGUCAGCUCGUGUCGUGAGAUGUUGGGUUAAGUCCCGCAACGAGCGCAACCCUUGAUCUUAGUUGCCAGCAUUCAGUUGGGCACUCUAAGGUGACUGCCGGUGACAAACCGGAGGAAGGUGGGGAUGACGUCAAAUCAUCAUGCCCCUUAUGACCUGGGCUACACACGUGCUACAAUGGAUGGUACAAAGGGCAGCGAAACCGCGAGGUUAAGCCAAUCCCAUAAAACCAUUCUCAGUUCGGAUUGCG
RNAcentral lists this ribosomal RNA (528 nucleotides) under uncultured bacterium. Its description in RNAcentral is "bacterial SSU rRNA". It matches the Rfam family "Bacterial small subunit ribosomal RNA", at positions 777 to 1302 of the family's 1533-position model. The record is from RNAcentral.